RNAcentral lists this ribosomal RNA (421 nucleotides) under uncultured bacterium. Its description in RNAcentral is "partial 16S ribosomal RNA". It matches the Rfam family "Bacterial small subunit ribosomal RNA", at positions 360 to 773 of the family's 1533-position model. The record is from RNAcentral.
AAUAUUGGACAAUGGGCGCAAGCCUGAUCCAGCCAUACCGCGUGGGUGAAGAAGGCCNNNGGGUUNUCAAGCCCUUUUGUUGGNAACNAAAUCCAGCUGGCUAAUACCCGGUUGUGAUGACGGUACCCAAAGAAUAAGCACCGGCUAACUUCGUCCCAUCAGCCGCGGUAAUACGAAGGGUGCAAGCGUUACUCGGAAUUACUGGGCGUAAAGCGUGCGUAGGUGGUCGUUUAAGUCCGUUGUGAAAGCCCUGGGCUCAACCUGGGAACUGCAGUGGAUACUGGGCAACUAGAAUGUGGUAGAGGGUAGCGGAAUUACUGGUGUAGCAGUGAAAUGCGUAGAGAUCAGGAGGAACAUCCAUGGCGAAGGCAGCUACCUGGACCAACAUUGACACUGAGGCACGAAAGCGUGGGGAGCAAAC